RNAcentral lists this long non-coding RNA (255 nucleotides) under Dunaliella salina. Its description in RNAcentral is "long non-coding RNA (DSAL_LNC000119)". Lineage: Eukaryota; Viridiplantae; Chlorophyta; Chlorophyceae; Chlamydomonadales; Dunaliellaceae. The record is from RNAcentral.
GCUGAAAGGCGCUGUUGGCACCCAGAGCACAUUCCGCAGCUCUAACACUGGCUYUCCCCGAGCGAACUGCUUGCUCUGACCCGGCUGCGUCGCACGCAGCCUCACUGUGCCCUCCCCAGCUGCMUGUGCCUUAUUAUGCAGGGCUGCAAUGUCCUUGCUGGUGCUGCGCAUCUCUGCAAAGGCGCUCCUGUGGGGUGUGAUGUGGUGCGUGGCCCCGCUGUCCAACACCCAAUCCAUGCUCAAGACGUCCACCUC